This 1702-nucleotide ribosomal RNA is filed under the name Haplosporidium louisiana. RNAcentral describes it as "SSU rRNA". It matches the Rfam family "Eukaryotic small subunit ribosomal RNA". Lineage: Eukaryota; Endomyxa; Ascetosporea; Haplosporida; Haplosporidiidae. The record is from RNAcentral.
AGCCAUAUGCUUUUCUCGAAGAUUAAGCCAUGCAAGUGCAAGUUCAAGCAGCUUGAACUGUUAAACUGCGGACGGCUCAUUAAAUCAGAACUGAUUUAUUUGAUAUAAGUACAUUGUACUUAGGAUACCCAUGAUAAAGUUAUGGCUAAUACUUUUUAAACACUUAGACUUUGUCUGGUGGACAUAUAUAUUGUAAAUCAACUUUUGUGAACAAUAAUAUGUUUAAGAUCGCUUAAAAGCGACAUGUCAUUCAAGGUUCUGCCCUAWCAUGUUUGACGGUAGGGUAUUGGCCUACCGUGACAGUAACGGGUACGGGGAAUCAGGGUUCGAUUCCGGAGAGGGAGCCUGAGAAACGGCUGCCACAUCCACGGAAGGCAGCAGGUGCGAAAAUUACCCAAUUCUAACACAGAGAGGUAGUAAAGAGACAUAACGCUUUAUCUGGCUCAGGUCAGAUCUGCGGAAUGAGAAAAACUUAAACUACUUAUCGACUAACAAGUGGAGGGCAAGUCUGGUGCCAGCAGCCGCGGUAAUACCAGCUCCACGAGUGUAUGCUAAGUUUGCUGCCGUUAAAAAGCUCGUAGUUGGACAUUUACACUUCUUUCAUUGUUCYUUUUGGACAACUCAAUGAGUGAAAGUUGUGUAUAUUUCGAGACAUUCAGUCGUCCAUUAGUUUGGUCGGCCGUUUUGACUCGAUCGAAUACUUUGAGCAAAUUGGAGUGCUCAGUGCAGGUUUGCGCCUGAACGCGAUACAUGGGAUAAUAAACUAAUACGUUGGCUGGUGUUAAUAAUACCAAGUUUGUUGGUUUAGAGCCAAGGUAAUGAUUAAUAGGAACGGUCGGGGGUGGCAGUAUCAUCGGGCCAGAGGUAAAAUUCGUUCAACCUGAUGGGACUAUCAUUUGCGAAAGCAGCCACCAAGAACGUUUUCUUUAAUCAAGAACUAAAGCUUGUGUAGUCAAGACGAUCAGAUACCGUCGUAGCACAAGCCAUAAACUAUGUCGACUAAGUAUUGGGCAGAAGUCGAGACUGCUCAGGGCUUUGCGAGAAAUCAAAGUCUUGGGACUCGGGGGGAAGUAUACCCGCAAGUGUGAAACUUAAAGGAAUUGACGGAAGGGCACCACCAGGUGUGGGGUGCGCGACUCAAUUUGACUUAACACGGGGCACCUCACCAUGUCCAAACUCAGAGAUGAUUGACAGAUUAAAGUUCUUUCUUGAUUCUGAGAACGGUGGCGCAUGGCCGUUGUUAGUUGGUGGAGUGAUUUGUCUGGUCAAUUCCGAUAACGAACGAGAUCCCAACCCUAUUUUAGUAGUCGCUAAUAAAUUAGCUUCACUAUUUCUUUAGGGGACUGUCCACGGUAAAACAGUGGAAGGAAGUUUGGGGCUAUAACAGGUCCGUAUGCCCCUAGAUGACAUGGGCCGUUUGCACACCACAUUGAUUUUCAAAGAAAGCUCGUACGCGAAAGCGUUGUGCAAGCAAUAAAGUUAAUCAAAGUAGGGAUCAGAGGUUGCAAUUUUCCUUUGUGAACAAGGAAUAUCUUAUAAACGCAAGUCAGAAACUUGUGUUGAAUACGUCCCUGCCCUUUGUACACACCGCCCGUCGCUUCUACCGAUUGAACGAUUGUGUGAAACUAGUGGAGAGGUCUUCGAUCUUAAAGCUAGGUAAGCAUUGUUGUUUAGAGGAAGGAAAAGUCGUAACAAGGUUUCA